ACACGGUGUACCUCCGGCGGAAAGGUAUGUAAUGUCAUUAUAGAUAGAGGAAGCAGUGAAAAUAAGGUAGCCAAGGAGAUGGUCGAUAAGUUGAAGAACGAAAAGCAUCCCCAUCCUUAAAAGAUCUCCUGGUUUCAUAAAGGGAGGGAUAGAGAGAAGCUUUCAGUAAGUAGGGGUGGUGAAGGCAUCUGCUCUUCUAUAGUUAUAGCUACGCCCUUCAUUCUUGUUUCAAGAGGGCAUUUCCCAGCCAUUGUGGACAAAGGAUAGUCUUCUAUCAUUGUUAAGGAAGGAGUAUGUUAUAGGUCGUUGGGCGGCCGGAAUCAAGCCUUUGGGAAAAGAGGGAUCAAGAAUCAAAGUUCGUUCGGAGGAGAAGAGAAGGAGAUUCUUAAUCAUAGCACAGGGUCCCGGGACCUAGCGGAUGGUCUUGUUCCUCUUCCUAUGACUAAUACGCCGAUGUAGACUAUAUCCAUAGCCUUUCAUAUUAGGGUUGUGUUCUUAACGAAUUUUUGUGUGAAACUCGUUUAGGCGAAUCGAUCAAUAGAAGGGACACCUACCUUUGAUUUUUUAAGUGUUGAUUGUAUGCCUGGAAAAGCUAAAUAGAAAGAGUGACUUCCGGCGGUCUGACGAUUAAUUGCAUUUGGUUCAAUUUCUCUUGCUUGAGAGGGCAAGGGCAGGAAAUAUAGUAUGAAGUUAGGGGCUUGCUUAAUGGCUUUCCUUCCGCUAGAUGAUCACUACUGACAGUGAGAUCAGAAAGGCAAGGAGCUUUCUUUCGAUAGUGCUAAUAUAGAAAUAGAAAGAUGUGAAAUUCAUUCCUCAAUCUUUUGCCGUAUAGCGUACUUUAUCGAAAAGAUUGAGCAUUCUUUCAUUUAGAGAUGUCACAUCAGAACUACUGCUUGAGCUGUAAUGAAAUUGACUCUUACAUCCAAGCUAUCUUUCCCAAGUAACCAAAUUCUACCAAGGUGAGAGGAAUUAUAAUUGUGCAAGAAGGACCAGUUUGGAAAAACUAAAGGAANNN
Molecule: long non-coding RNA, 1015 nt
Filed under: Elaeis guineensis (African oil palm)
Lineage: Eukaryota; Viridiplantae; Streptophyta; Magnoliopsida; Arecales; Arecaceae
Description: long non-coding RNA (EGUI_LNC065655)
Source: RNAcentral